This 471-nucleotide ribosomal RNA is filed under the name uncultured bacterium. RNAcentral describes it as "partial 16S ribosomal RNA". It matches the Rfam family "Bacterial small subunit ribosomal RNA", at positions 28 to 501 of the family's 1533-position model. The record is from RNAcentral.
GACGAACGCUGGCGGCGUGCUUAACACAUGCAAGUCGAACGGUAAGGCCCUUCGGGGUACACGAGUGGCGAACGGGUGAGUAACACGUGGGUGAUCUGCCCUGCACUUCGGGAUAAGCCUGGGAAACUGGGUCUAAUACCGGAUAGGACUCCUGGCUUCAUGGUUGGGGGGGGAAAGCUUUUGCGGUGUGGGCCCGCGCCGGAUUCGCUAGUUGGUUGGGGUAACGGCCCACCAAGGCGACCAUCCGUAGCUGGUCUGGGAGGACGAUCAGCCACACUGGGACUGAGACACGGCCCAGACUCCUACGGGAGGCAGCAGUGGGGAAUCUUGCGCAAUGGGCGAAAGCCUGACGCAGCAACGCCGCGUGAGGGAAGAAGGCCUUCGGGUUGUAAACCUCUUUCAGUAGGGACGAAGCUUCCGAGGUUAAUAGCCUACGGGGUGACGGUACCUACAGAAGAAGCCCCGGCUAAC